RNAcentral lists this ribosomal RNA (500 nucleotides) under uncultured bacterium. RNAcentral's name for it is "bacterial SSU rRNA". It matches the Rfam family "Bacterial small subunit ribosomal RNA", at positions 98 to 633 of the family's 1533-position model. The record is from RNAcentral.
GCGCACGGGUGAGUAACGCGUGGGUAUCUGCCCUGGAGUGGGGGAUAACCGCUGGAAACGGCGGCUAAUACCGCAUACGCCCUGAGGGGGAAAGCUCUGGCGCUCUGGGAGGAGCCCGCGUCCGAUUAGCUUGUUGGUGGGGUAACGGCCCACCAAGGCUGCGAUCGGUAGCUGGUCUGGGAGGAUGAUCAGCCACACUGGAACUGAGACACGGUCCAGACUCCUACGGGAGGCAGCAGUGGGGAAUCUUGGACAAUGGGCGCAAGCCUGAUCCAGCCAUGCCGCGUGAGUGAAGAAGGCCCUAGGGUUGUAAAGCUCUUUCGGCGGGGAAGAUGAUGACGGUACCCGCAGAAGAAGCCCCGGCUAACUCCGUGCCAGCAGCCGCGGUAAUACGGAGGGGGCUAGCGUUGUUCGGAAUUACUGGGCGUAAAGGGCGCGUAGGCGGACGAUCAAGUCAGGGGUGAAAGGCCCGGGCUCAACCUGGGAACGGCCUUUGAAAC